RNAcentral lists this RNase P RNA (379 nucleotides) under Micropruina sp. RNAcentral's name for it is "Bacterial RNase P class A". It matches the Rfam family "Bacterial RNase P class A". Rfam says of the family: Ribonuclease P (RNase P) is a ubiquitous endoribonuclease, found in archaea, bacteria and eukarya as well as chloroplasts and mitochondria. Lineage: Bacteria; Bacillati; Actinomycetota; Actinomycetes; Propionibacteriales; Nocardioidaceae. The record is from Rfam by way of RNAcentral.
CGAGUCGGCCGGGUGAUCGCGGCGCUGCCNNAGCGUCGAGGAAAGUCCGGACUCCGCAGAGCAGGGUGGUGGGUAACACCCACCCGGGGUGACCCGCGGGAAAGUGCCACAGAGAACAGACCGCCCCUCCGCGAGGAGANGGUAAGGGUGAAACGGUGGGGUAAGAGCCCACCGCGUCCUUGGUGACAAGGGCGGCACGGCAAACCCCACCCGGAGCAAGACCAAGAAGGGCCUUCGGGCCCGCGGACGCCGCCUGAGCGUUGCUCGCGCGAGGCGCCCGGGUAGGUCGCACCAGGCGGCUGGCAACAGCCGUCGCAGAUGGAUGAUCACCCUUCCCACAAGGGAANGACAGGAUCCGGCUUAUAGGCCGGCUCGUCCC